Poecile atricapillus (Black-capped chickadee) is the source of this 201-nucleotide long non-coding RNA. RefSeq lists it as uncharacterized. The record is from RefSeq and is a predicted model, not a curated record. Lineage: Eukaryota; Metazoa; Chordata; Aves; Passeriformes; Paridae. The transcript is spliced from 3 exons.
GCCAGACCCGGCUCAGUUGGUCGAGGGCCUGGGGGGAGGAAAAGGGGAGUCAGGACAGGUGAGAGGGACCCCCCAGGUGUGCCCAGGUACCCCCUGAGUGUCCCCAGGUGUGCCCAGAUGUUCCCAGGUACCCCCCAGAUGUCCCCAGGUGUGUCCCCAGAUGUGCUCCAGGUGUCCCAAGUGUUCUCCCAGGUGUCCCCA